CAUUAGGUGACUGAAAAUAAGUAAUGAUCUCUUAAAUCAUAAAUAGUAUAUUAAUAAAUACUCCUAAUGA
This 70-nucleotide transfer RNA is filed under the name Pimpla luctuosa. RNAcentral's name for it is "tRNA-Lys". The record is from RNAcentral. Lineage: Eukaryota; Metazoa; Arthropoda; Insecta; Hymenoptera; Ichneumonidae.